This 78-nucleotide transfer RNA is filed under the name Desulfurococcaceae archaeon. Its description in RNAcentral is "tRNA-Val". It matches the Rfam family "tRNA". From Rfam's summary of the family: Transfer RNA (tRNA) molecules are approximately 80 nucleotides in length. Their secondary structure includes four short double-helical elements and three loops (D, anti-codon, and T loops). RNAcentral also lists the same sequence under 2 other names. The record is from RNAcentral. Lineage: Archaea; Thermoproteati; Thermoproteota; Thermoprotei; Desulfurococcales; Desulfurococcaceae.
GGGCCCGUCGUCUAGCCUGGUUAGGACGCCGCCCUCACACGGCGGAGGUCCUGGGUUCGAAUCCCAGCGGGCCCACCA